GUGCUCGCUUGGGCAGCACAUAUUCUAAAAUUGAAACAAUAUAGAGAUAAUCAGCAUGGCCCCUGAGCAAGGAUGACACGCAAAUUUGUGAAGUGUUUCAUGUUUUU
RNAcentral lists this small nuclear RNA (107 nucleotides) under Phascolarctos cinereus (koala). Lineage: Eukaryota; Metazoa; Chordata; Mammalia; Diprotodontia; Phascolarctidae. The record is from RNAcentral.